This 66-nucleotide transfer RNA is filed under the name Astenus lyonessius. Its description in RNAcentral is "tRNA-Phe". The record is from RNAcentral. Lineage: Eukaryota; Metazoa; Arthropoda; Insecta; Coleoptera; Staphylinidae.
AUUCAAAUAGCUUAUAUUAGAGUUUAAUAUUGAAGAUAUUAAGGAAAUAAUUUUUAUUUUUGAAUA